Molecule: long non-coding RNA, 422 nt
Filed under: Homo sapiens (human)
Lineage: Eukaryota; Metazoa; Chordata; Mammalia; Primates; Hominidae
Description: non-protein coding lnc-SCD-4:1
Source: RNAcentral
UGACUCUGUCACCAGCCCAUUCUCUUCCCCUACCCGAUUCUAGGGGCACCUCUUAGGAAGGGCGCCCCUCUCUCUUCCCUGAACUCCGACCCUGUUUAAUAUAGUAUGUUUACACUCUGCCUUCAUCAGAUGCUAGCCUGCCCAGUUUGCUAUUGUGCUUUGUCCUGUUUCUCUUAGAAAUCUGUGAGCUCCCCAGGGGUGGGAGCAGAACUUUGGCUCCAUUCUCCCCCACACAGCAGAGAAUUGACUUUCCGCUGGGCACAGGGGAGGCUCAGUCAACACUCUAUCCCCAUGUGGCUACGUUGGCUUAGAGGCACAGAAUGGGAGAGAAGCAGGCUCUUGGCUGAGGAAAAGCCCUGGGCGAGCACUGAGGGAAGCUUGGCCUCAGACAUAGCCAGCUGCCCUCUGGACCUCGCAGCCCU